CACGUAGGGCGCAAGCGUUGUCCGGAAUUAUUGGGCGUAAAGAGCUCGUAGGCGGUCUGUCGCGUCCGUUGUGAAAACUCGAGGCUCAACCUCGGGCUUGCAGUGGAUACGGGCAGACUAGAGUGCGGUAGGGGAGACUGGAAUUCCUGGUGUAGCGGUGAAAUGCGCAGAUAUCAGGAGGAACACCGGUGGCGAAGGCGGGUCUCUGGGCCGUAACUGACGCUGAGGCGCGAAAGCGUGGGGAGCAAACAGG
Molecule: ribosomal RNA, 253 nt
Filed under: uncultured bacterium
Lineage: Bacteria
Description: partial 16S ribosomal RNA
Rfam family: Bacterial small subunit ribosomal RNA
Source: RNAcentral